CUCCACCUGCAAUCCUGCCAGGAAAGCCUGACCGCUCCCACUGCAGAUCUCCAUCCCCUCUUUGACCUUCCUUAUCAUUCCUUUCCUCUCCCAGCUCACUCCCUAGAAUGCCACGUGUGCUGCGGGCCUGAAAGCUGCCGGGCUCCCGUCGAAUGCUCCCCAACAGACAAGUACUGUCUUAUUACCCGGGCAAUCAACUCAAUCAACCCCAACCAUAUCCUGGUGAUGAAGUCCUGCGCCCCAACUUGCCCGAACAGCACCAUUUCAACCGAUGGACACGCCAUCUCUGUUGCCUGCUGCCAGGCAAAUAGAUGCAAUGGGAAGGUGGAGACAAAUGCUUCCACUAGCCUAGCCAUCAGCCAAGGGGUUCUGUGGGUGGGUCUCUCGGCCAGCCUCCUGUGGGUGCUCCUCCACGCUGGCUGGUGAGGAGAUUUUUCUUGUCCCUACCCUUCCACUGUCCCUAAAGUUUUCUGUUCCCAAGAUCUCUUCAAUCAGGACAGGAUUUCCAAUACCAAGGGGCAGAUUUCCUCCCAAGAAAAAAGAUCCACAGGAUAGGCUUUUGUUCCUUCUUCUAGUUCCUUCAGGGUAUCCAGAAGGAGGAACUCUGUCCUGUAGUCUCAUUCCUUGGGUAUGAAUCUGGCCAAUUCCCAGUAUUACUAUUUCUCUUUCUCCUUUUCUCUUCCCUUUCUUAUCUGGGAUGCUAAUCUUUUCCCUGCUGUUUUUCUGUCCCCUGAGGAUAGGGAAAAUUAUUUUUUUUCUGUUAGGGGUGGUACAGCCAUAAUUGGGAGGGGAAGGGAAGAGGUCAUGGGGGAACUGUGAAAUUUUAAUGUUUUAAUUAAACAAUCACUUCCUUCUUCUUUUCUACUCUGUCCUACUUAACAUUGAGUCCCUUUCCCCCCUUUAAUCCUUGGGAAGCUCAAUAUAACCCCCUCAGUGCCAGUCAGGGUGAAUGACCCAAUUAAAGAAGGCUUCACUAAAAGAAGCAGCUUUUAAACCCUCUUUAAAUGGAUCAUCCAUCAUAUAAUCAUGUGGUUUAGAGAUGGGGUAGAGAACUGAGAUGAAGAGUAUAUGAUUUCCUCAAACCUAUCCUAUAAGCAACAAUGGGUGGGGGGAGGGUAGAAUUAUCUCAGGCAUUAAUUUUCCCUAAAUGGAAAUAGGAGGGAAAGAAGCUGAGGAGCUGUGAUUAGGGUGAAGAGUACUCCAUUGCCUCAAUCAGAGAGCCCACCCUGAUGUAUCUACUUCCCUCACAGGGAUGUUGUGAGAGGAAAAAUAAUAAAUGAUUAAAAUGCCCUUUGUGUGCCUUUUGAAUCAAAGAAUAUAGGGCAGAGAGUCCUGGAUUUAGCCUUAGCCUGUAAUGAGGAUUAAAAUGGUCUAUGGUCUCAAUGUAGGGCUACAGUUAGGAAGGAUUGAGUUUAUGACCAAAUAUUGAAUUCAGAGUAAGAAUACAUAUGUGUAAUCUCUUAAGGCCUCCCCCAUUACCUUGUUCUUGCAUCCUACCCCUAAUAUCAGCAUCUGUGGUCCACAGUUUAGAUCUGGACUCCUGAAUUCGAAUCAUCGAAUAUUCAAUCUUAAAGAGAACCUAAAAGUCAUCUAAUAUCCUCUACCCUCAAUUUAUUGCCAUUUUUAGAUUAACAAUCUGGGGCCCAAAAUGAGAAGAAAUGUGUCCAAGUCCAAGUCACAGAAUGAGUCAGACUGAAAAAAAGACCUGAACCUUAAAUUCCUACUUCCUACUUCCAACCCAUGAGCACAAAAUUGAGCUAUUAAUAAGGGCAUCAAGCUUGAUUGGCUACCAACCUAGUGUCUGGAAAUCUGGGAUGCUGAUGAUGGUACUACUCCCUCUCUAACUUGGAGGCGUUGAUACAAUGCUAGCUGAAAAAUCUGAAUUUUGGAAUGAUGGAAUUCUAAGACCUUAUUCUGGAAUGGAAUGCUCUGAACCUUUUGCACUUACCAGGUUACAGGUUCCAUCCACUCUUCAUUGCUCACUGAGUUCCCCUAAUAGCACCAAGAUAAAGAAAGACUAGUUAAAGCUAAUAAAUCUCUUUGAAUGUCACACAGCUAAUUAAAAGGCCUCCUUUCCCAUACAUAAUUAGUAACCUGAACCAGUUACAGAAUAUCUACUCAGGCUCCAAAGUCUGCCUCUCUAAGACACAUGCCUUACACAUCUUCAUGGUUCUGUCUCUUCUUGGUCUCCCAACUGUCUUCCAUGUAGACAUGCCAUCUGAGACAUUCUAAGCAUGCAUCAGAUCCUCAUUAUGAAAAUAUGCCUUUUUCAAAAGGAACAAGUUAGGAAAAGAGGUAUUGUGUAUUAAGAUCAAUAACUGAAAUGUGGAAGUAUGAUGAAAAAUGUUAAGGUGAGGAUCAAUGGAGCCAAGUACCAGAGUGAUAUUGUCAUCAGAACACUGGGACUAAUGUGAUAUUGUCAUCAGAUCAUCUGACAUCUCGCCUGUACAAAAAAAAGGAAAUUGAUAAAGAAUUGGGGAAACAUUUCAAAAAUAUGACAGAGGAGCAUGAUUCGCUAUUGAUAUGGAAUUUAAAUUAUUCAAAUAUCUACUAGAGCCUCUCUCUUUCACUCUCUCCCUCACUCUCUCCUUUCCAAUCUCUUUCCCUUCCUCCCCCUUUCCUUCUCCUUCUCCCUCUCUCUCUCUCAAAAAAGUCUUAUA
Sarcophilus harrisii (Tasmanian devil) is the source of this 2660-nucleotide long non-coding RNA. The record is from Ensembl. Lineage: Eukaryota; Metazoa; Chordata; Mammalia; Dasyuromorphia; Dasyuridae.